CUUGCAGGGAAACCAGCCUCCCAUAACUCCCCUGCCCACAUUCAGCAUCAACCAGAUGGAGAAAGUGCUCAGAAUACAGACCUAGCCAAGUCAGAAGAUGUAAGUGGAGACCAGACACCGAGAGUCCACUCUACUUGGGCCAGCAAGAUUUGAUGGGACAAUCCAGGACCUUGGGAGCAAACAGCUCACGAAAGGACAGUUACCCC
Non-coding RNA from Leptonychotes weddellii (Weddell seal), 206 nucleotides. Lineage: Eukaryota; Metazoa; Chordata; Mammalia; Carnivora; Phocidae. The record is from RefSeq and is a predicted model, not a curated record.